AAUCCAUGAUGAGGGCAUGAUUUCAUUAGCUCCUUAAAUCAUUAUCAUGCUUCGAAGAGAGAUUUUUCUUAUGUCUUCCUAAAACAGGUAAUUUGGUUCCUAAGUUG
Molecule: small nucleolar RNA, 107 nt
Organism: Lathyrus oleraceus (garden pea)
Lineage: Eukaryota; Viridiplantae; Streptophyta; Magnoliopsida; Fabales; Fabaceae
Source: RefSeq, a predicted model, not a curated record